GGAUCAGCAUGCCACGGUGAAUACGUUCCCGGGCCUUGUACACACCGCCCGUCACACCAUGAGAGUUGGUUGUACCAGAAGUCGUUGGGCUAACCUUUUGGGAGUAGGCGCCUAAGGUAUGGCUGAUGAUUGGGGUGAAGUCGUAACAAGGUAGCCGUUGGGGAACCAGCGGCUGGAUCACCUCCUUUCUAAGGA
This 195-nucleotide ribosomal RNA is filed under the name Gammaproteobacteria bacterium. RNAcentral's name for it is "partial 16S ribosomal RNA". It matches the Rfam family "Bacterial small subunit ribosomal RNA", at positions 1346 to 1533 of the family's 1533-position model. RNAcentral also lists the same sequence under 2 other names. The record is from RNAcentral. Lineage: Bacteria; Pseudomonadati; Pseudomonadota; Gammaproteobacteria.